RNAcentral lists this ribosomal RNA (657 nucleotides) under Ciocalypta penicillus. RNAcentral's name for it is "eukaryotic LSU rRNA". It matches the Rfam family "Eukaryotic large subunit ribosomal RNA", at positions 659 to 1290 of the family's 3401-position model. Lineage: Eukaryota; Metazoa; Porifera; Demospongiae; Suberitida; Halichondriidae. The record is from RNAcentral.
ACACGGACCAAGGAGUGCAACAAGCGUGCGAGUCUGUGGGUGAAGAAACCAUGCGGCGCAAUGAAAGUGAAGGCAGGCUGUGGUCUGYUUAGGCGAGAGUCUCAGUUUUCAUUGGGGACACAUCGUCGACCGAUCCCAGGUCACGCAGUGGCGGGAUUUGAGUGAGAGCGUGCCUGUUGCGACCCGAAAGAUGGUGAACUAUGCCCGAAUAGGGCGAAGCCAGAGGAAACUCUGGUGGAAGCUCGUAGCGAUUCUGACGUGCAAAUCGAUCGUCAAAUUUGGGUAUAGGGGCGAAAGACUAAUCGAACCAUCUAGUAGCUGGUUCCCUCCGAAGUUUCCCUCAGGAUAGCUGGAGCCCGGUGCAGUUUUAUCAGGUAAAGCGAAUGAUUAGAGGUCUUGGGGUUGAAACAACCUCAACCUAUUCUCAAACUUUAAAUGGGUAAGAAGCUCGGCUUGCUCARGUGAAGUCGGGCAUUGAAUGCCGGGGUUCCUAGUGGGCCUUUUUUGGUAAGCAGAACUGGCGAUGUGGGAUGAACCAAAUGCUGGGUUAAGGUGCCCGAAUCGACGCUCAUCAGAUACCAUGAAAGGUGUUGGUUGAUCUAGACAGCAGGACGGUGGCCAUGGAAGUCGGAAUCCGCUAGGGAGUGUGUAACAACU